AGAUGCUGCUGUUUCCAUGGAGAUAAAAGGACCAAUGGCCUUUUCUUGGUUUGGACUGUACUACAGUGAGCAGGCAGAGAUGGUGCAUUCGAAAAUGCAACAUUUGGUGCUUUGAUAUUUCAGGCUAAAUAUCAAAUGAGAAAGCAUAUUGUUUUUUCUCGGUGAUGAAGUUGAAUAAUAAAUACAGCUUUGGGACUUUUUCGGGAAGCAGAAAGCAAGCCCACCAGGAAUGUGAGAACAGCGUGGCUGGUUUGUGCUUGCUAAACCUCCUCUCUGGGAAAAACCUUUUGGCUUUGCAAAAUAUAACCCUGUAGAGCCUUUGGGUUUAUCUGAUGCAGUGUUUGAUGCUGGUUACAUCACCAGUUACUUCUCCGUGAUGUUCCGCCGUGGCUGAUCCUCAAUGAACCUGCAAAAGCUGUCAAUGUGAUUCUUUUUUUCUUUUUUCCUUUUUUUUUUUUUUGUCCCUUAAGAAAGAGCUUUUCUACCUCAGGUUGCGUGAAAGAAAAUCUAAAUCCCAAAUCCACCCCCCAUCCAAGGAUGGCUUGCAGAAGGUGUUAUUUGUCUUUAAAUACUCUGCACCAGUUUUGCUGUCCAGCUCCAUUGUACCAUUCCCAGCUAGCUGUCCCUGCCACACACUCAGAGUACAGUGAUACCUGUGAAAACAAAAAGAUAAUGCAAAGGAUGUUAUAGUACCAAAGAAAUCCCAUCAUUUUCUUGCAGUCUCUGCCUGCUUAAUGUUUAAUCAGCACCUCUGGGAGCUUGUUCUUUAGUUUAAAGGAAAUGGCCCCUCGUGGUUGUUCUGGUUCAGAAGUGGCCUCGCUGCAGCCUCCUGCCAAGCCAGCAUCCUUCCCUCCACCUGCCAUAAAGCACUGUAUAGCAUUACAGAUGGAAGAUAAUGUUCUGCACCAGUUCUGCUGUCCACCUUCGGGGUCUAGUAGCCCAUCCUCAAGAUAACAGCGAAGCUGCUGAGUGUGCAGGCAGUGCUCCACCUGUAUAGCCCAGCUCUCCUCUCCUCUCUUACUGCUCUUCCUCCUGUCCAGUGCUGAGAACACACUCCAGCUGUAAACAAAUACCUGAAAUGCACAGUUUAUUUUGAACUAAAAUAAACAGUUCCAUAAGU
This is a long non-coding RNA of Manacus vitellinus (golden-collared manakin), 1120 nucleotides long. RefSeq lists it as uncharacterized. The transcript has 6 exons. Lineage: Eukaryota; Metazoa; Chordata; Aves; Passeriformes; Pipridae. The record is from RefSeq and is a predicted model, not a curated record.